CCCUUAGAUGUCCUGGGCCGCACGCGCGCUACACUGAUGCAUUCAACGAGUAUUUCCUUGGCCGAGAGGCCUGGGCAAUCUUUUAAACCUGCAUCGUGAUAGGGAUAGAUUAUUGCAAUUAUUAAUCUUGAACGAGGAAUUCCUAGUAAACGCAAAUCAUCAAUUUGCAUUGAUUACGUCCCUGCCCUUUGUACACACCGCCCGACGCACCUACCGAUUGAAUGGUCCGGUGAAAUCUCGGGAUUGUGGCCAGUUCACUUUAUUGGGAGUUGGCUGCGAGAACUUGCUUAAACCUUAUCAUUUAGAGGAAGGUGAAGUCGUAACA
This 325-nucleotide ribosomal RNA is filed under the name uncultured eukaryote. Its description in RNAcentral is "partial 18S ribosomal RNA". It matches the Rfam family "Eukaryotic small subunit ribosomal RNA", at positions 1470 to 1796 of the family's 1831-position model. The record is from RNAcentral.